RNAcentral lists this ribosomal RNA (253 nucleotides) under uncultured bacterium. RNAcentral's name for it is "partial 16S ribosomal RNA". It matches the Rfam family "Bacterial small subunit ribosomal RNA", at positions 524 to 776 of the family's 1533-position model. The record is from RNAcentral.
UACGGAGGGUGCAAGCGUUAUCCGGAUUCAUUGGGCGUAAAGGGUGCGUAGGUGGCGCCGUAAGUCGGGUGUGAAAUUUCGGAGCUUAACUCCGAAACUGCAUUCGAUACUGCGGUGCUUGAGGACUGGAGAGGAGACUGGAAUUCAUGGUGUAGCAGUGAAAUGCGUAGAGAUCAUGAGGAAGACCAGUGGCGAAGGCGGGUCUCUGGACAGUUCCUGACACUGAGGCACGAAGGCCAGGGGAGCGAACGGG